AGUGGCGGACGGGUGAGUAACGCGUGAGAAUCUGCCUUGGGGUCGGGGACAACCACUGGAAACGGUGGCUAAUACCGGAUAAGCCGAUUGGUGAAAGAUUUAUUGCCCGAAGAGGAGCUCGCGUCUGAUUAGCUAGUUGGUGAGGUAAGAGCUCACCAAGGCAGCGAUCAGUAGCUGGUCUGAGAGGACGAUCAGCCACACUGGGACUGAGACACGGCCCAGACUCCUACGGGAGGCAGCAGUGGGGAAUUUUCCGCAAUGGGCGAAAGCCUGACGGAGCAAGACCGCGUGAGGGAGGAAGGCUCUUGGGUUGUAAACCUCUUUUCUCAGGGAAGAAGCUCUGACGGUACCUGAGGAAUCAGCCUCGGCUAACUCCGUGCCAGCAGCCGCGGUAAUACGGAGGAGGCAAGCGUUAUCCGGAAUUAUUGGGCGUAAAGCGUCCGCAGGUGGCAAUUCAAGUCUGCUGUCAAAGCACGGGGCUUAACUCCGUUAAGGCAGUGGAAACUGAAUAGCUAGAGUGCCGUAGGGGUAGAGGGAAUUCCCGGUGUAGCGGUGAAAUGCGUAGAGAUCGGGAAGAACAUCGGUGGCGAAAGCGCUCUACUGGACGGCAACUGACACUCAGGGACGAAAGCUAGGGGAGCGAAUGGGAUUAGAUACCCC
This 660-nucleotide ribosomal RNA is filed under the name uncultured bacterium. Its description in RNAcentral is "bacterial SSU rRNA". It matches the Rfam family "Bacterial small subunit ribosomal RNA", at positions 94 to 788 of the family's 1533-position model. The record is from RNAcentral.